Molecule: long non-coding RNA, 307 nt
Organism: Mastomys coucha (southern multimammate mouse)
Lineage: Eukaryota; Metazoa; Chordata; Mammalia; Rodentia; Muridae
Exons: 2
Source: RefSeq, a predicted model, not a curated record
AAAACUUGAGAGCAAAAGUACAAAUGUGGUCCCUACUACUUGGCCUUUCAAGAUCUUGGUGCCUACAGAUGCCAAGGGGACCUGAGAAAACACUGAGAUUUAAAACACCUGAACUCAGCCUUUAAGGAAAGAAGUCUGGAAGAGCUGUCAAGCUGGGAAAGUCUUAAGAAGAAUCUCUGUAUAAUGGCAUACAACAUCAUCUUUCCCUAAGGAUAGGAGAAAUGGAAAAUAUAUUACUUUUUCUCUGAGUAGCUCUUGGCAAUGCACCAUGAAUGCACUUCAUUAAAAAAAAUUCUCAGUACCUCAA